Equus asinus (donkey) is the source of this 1571-nucleotide long non-coding RNA. Lineage: Eukaryota; Metazoa; Chordata; Mammalia; Perissodactyla; Equidae. The record is from Ensembl.
CUCUGCCAGUGCCUUUGUCAGCUGCCAGCUGUUACUUCCCUGGAAAAGGGGUCAGAAGGCUGCUAGUAGCUAAUAGCCAGCCAGCAGCUCCGAGUAAGAACCGUCCCUCAUGGGCUUUAGCUGCUGGCUGAUUGUCAGCCGAGAGCUACAAGUUCUGGUUUGAUAAAAGCCAGCUAUAGAUUUCAAACCUGCUUUUUUUUCUUUUUCCAUUUGUGCUCUGAAAUUGUCGCACACUCCAAAUGGAACUCGGGGCUGCACGACUGAGAAGUUCUGGAGAGAGUUGCCACUGGUGUCUGAGCGCCAGGGACCCUUCGAACAAGGACCAUUCCCAGGGGAGUGCAUGAUGGGAGUUUCUUCUCUUCCUCGUGGUGUGUCACAGUUUCACUCUGCGCUUUCAGCACUUGAAAGCAUAGAAUUUAAAAAUGGAAAAUCCAGCGUUGUCAAGAAUUGUGCAAAGAAAGCAAGUCACCCAUCUUCCACCCAAGCAUGUAGGAAGGAACAGACUACAACAAGGUAACGAAGGGAGGGGAAGUAACAUCCAUCUGGAAGUGAGACGGUUCUGGAUUCCUUCUCCAAAGACUAGCUGUGUGACCUUGGAGAAGUUACUCAGUGUCUCUGAGCUUCAGAGUCCUCCCAGAUAAAGUGGGAAUGACAGUAUACAGGACUGUUUGGGGGACUGAACGCACUAACAGGUAGUGUAUGGUAGGUCCUCAGUGAAGAGUUCUUCUCCUGUGAUGGUGGCUAAAAGCAUGUGUGUGUUAGCCUGAAAACACCAGUGGGGUCUCCUGGGGGCCAGAGGUGUUCAUUUCCAGACUCUGUGACACUUUCCCUGAAAUCUGUACUUCCCUGUGACUGCCUCAGGCAUGUUCACAUAGAAUUUUCUCGUACUGAGGACACUCUCUCUGAACAGUUUACAUCCGCAGGCUGCUUUUCAGGAGGCCCUGAGGUAGGAAAUGUUAAAUCAUUCUCCCAGGUGCCUGCCUUUCUGCUCAGGAUAAAUGGAGGCAGGAGGAAGGCCCAGCCAAGAGCAAUUAAAAGUCACACUACAGCGCUUGGGCUCAUCCCUCGGAGCCCUUAGGCCUCACAUCUGGGAAACAGCUGGUGGAAGAAAUGGAAAAAAAGAUGCCCCUUGUUCUUCCUGACGGGUUGUGUCCCAAAGGUAGCACCUCAGAGAAGCAUCUUCCAGGCUUCCCCAGUCCGUUUAUGGGCACCGAAGAGAAGUGGAAGCAUUCUCUUGUUUCUCCCAUGACGCUCUUCCUCUCUUUGCUGUCCUCAUCUCCAAACACAGACAGCCUUUUCAAAGUGUCCUGGUACCAACACUCCAGAGAAUGCUGUUUUCCCCUAACCUAAAAAAGAUUAUUAUACUAAUAAUUUCAAGGCAGAAAGUUCAAGGCCAAGGUAAUAAGUACUAUUUCUUUUAAUCUUUAUUCUUUUUAAUGAAUAAAGUACCACGCGCUUGUUGUGGAAAAGGGAAUCAAGGGCCCAUAUGCGCAAAUAGUCUAAGAGCUCUCUAUUCUCUCUCACUCCCCUCAGUCCCGCUCCCUGGAGGUGACUACCCCUUAGCAGUUUGG